This 336-nucleotide unclassified non-coding RNA is filed under the name soil metagenome. RNAcentral's name for it is "partial contains 5.8S ribosomal RNA, internal transcribed spacer 2, and large subunit ribosomal RNA". The stretch from base 1 to 120 matches the Rfam family "5.8S ribosomal RNA", at positions 35 to 154 of the family's 154-position model. The record is from RNAcentral.
GAUGAAGAACGCAGCGAAAUGCGAUAAGUAGUGUGAAUUGCAGAAUUCAGUGAAUCAUCGAAUCUUUGAACGCACAUUGCGCCCCUUGGUAUUCCAUGGGACAUGCCAGUUCGAGCGUCAUUUGUACCUUCAAGCUUUGCUUGGUGUUGGGUGUUUGUCUCGCCUUUGCGUGUAGACUCGCCUUAAAAUAAUUGGCAGCCGGCGUAUUGAUUUCGGAGCGCAGUACAUCUCGCGCUUUGCACUCAUAACGACAGCGUCCAAAAGUACAUUUUACACUCUUGACCUCGGAUCAGGUAGGGAUACCCGCUGAACUUAAGCAUAUCAAUAAGCGGAGGA